Molecule: transfer RNA, 72 nt
Filed under: Amanita thiersii
Lineage: Eukaryota; Fungi; Basidiomycota; Agaricomycetes; Agaricales; Amanitaceae
Also listed under: 2 other names
Description: tRNA-Lys
Rfam family: tRNA
About the family: Transfer RNA (tRNA) molecules are approximately 80 nucleotides in length. Their secondary structure includes four short double-helical elements and three loops (D, anti-codon, and T loops).
Source: RNAcentral
GAAAGCAGAACUCGAGUGGUGGAGUGUCCCCCUUUUAAGGGGAAAGUCUUGGUUCAAGUCCAAGUGUUUUCA